Molecule: long non-coding RNA, 2081 nt
Filed under: Nicotiana tabacum (common tobacco)
Lineage: Eukaryota; Viridiplantae; Streptophyta; Magnoliopsida; Solanales; Solanaceae
Description: long non-coding RNA (NTAB_LNC003540)
Source: RNAcentral
UAUUUUACAUGGUACCACAUGACCGUAAUAGUAUAGUGUAUAAAGUGUAUUAAAAAUAAAUAGAAUUUUAAGUAAUUUGAGACAAUUCUUAAUUAUGCGGGUAAUUUAUUAAUUACCGAGUAGCGGAAUACUGCCUAAUUGAUUAAUUAGUGUAAUUGGGUAAGGUUGGAUAGUCUCAAACGUGGCAGCUAGCCACAAUCUAAAACUAUGACUCAUGGACACGUUUGAUAAGGUGGCAAUAAUAUUUCUCACUUUCCGGCAUAUUGAUUCCACUAAGUAAUCCAUCUUAAGUAACGGAUGGUGUCUCGGUCUGGGAGUGGUCUGGUUCUGCCUUGGACGAGGGAGCUGAGGCAGCAAUAUAGUUUUUCCACGCAUCUUGGAAAACCAUGUCGGCUGGUUCACUUUAGUGAAGCUUUCCCUGUUAUCAAGUAAAGAUAAAAUAUUAAUAUUGGGAUGGAGUACUUUUCUGCUGGAAGUAUUUAAGUGUGUUCCAAUAAAUCAAAGAAUCAAGAAGGCUCUUCAUGAUCGAAUAAGCUUCUUUGUAUGAACUAGAUUUGUGUUUCAUUGGAUGGCUCUUUUGGUCCGCUUAAGUUGUGUUAUCUGAAUGCCACUCACUGAAUCUGAAAAAUAUCAUUGCGCAAGUGUUUGAGAAAAAAAAGCUUAGAUGUUUUUCAAGAGGAGGUUGUUGAUACGAGUACUGAAGCUUACAAGUAUAUUAAGGUUAUCCCUUCUUUCUUUUGGAAAGAUUUAUAUGACACAAACGAAACUAGAAAAUGCACAACUUUUAUAAAUGACUCUAUUGAUAGAAGUAUUACAGGUGCCUAUGUUUUUGAAUUUUUAUGUGUCGUAUUAUUUGAUCAUAUGUUCAUGGGCCUAAAAAAAAUACGCAAGUUGAAAAUUUUUACUUCAUGAUAUUAAUCAAAGGCAUAAUGGUCUUAUGACAUUCCAAAAGUUUUUUUAAUGUACUUCUCAUGCAUUGCAUUCAUUUACAUGUUCAUUUACUCAUGACUCAGAUGGCGUUAUUUACGCGUAUAUAUGUAUAUAUAUGUAUAUGGGAUAUGAGAAAAGAUUACGACGUUAUGUACGUAUCACCACCUGAUCAGCUGGUAUAUGUUGAUGAUUUGCCCACCGUGGCCGAGAUGAUAUGAUGGGAUGCCUCAGAGGCUUGAUGAUGUUAUGAACAUAUGUAUCUAUGCACGACAUGACAUACAUACGCAUAUGCAUGACACUAUGAGUAUUUCAUUAUUUACAGUGUUAUUCCAGUUCUAAAAAAUGAAGUUUGUUCUCAGGCAGGUUCUUUUAUUUUUAUAGUUUGCCAGUUGAUGUGAUUUCAAAUAUAUGAAUUUCCUUGUUGCAAGAUAACAGAAAAUACAUGGCUGAUAAAGAGAAGAAAUUUACAUGUGCAUUAUCGUAUUGGUAAAUUUUCUAAAGAAAAGGGAAAUGGUAAUUUUUGAAUAGUACGUAUAAGAGAUAUAACUCCCAAAAGUGCAAGUGUUGAUUUUAAAAUUCCAGUCUUUCUUUUGUGGGAUAAGGCCUUUAAUAAAUCACUAUGAUAACAUUGCAGAUCGAAUUGAUAAUUUAGGUCUUACAUGUUAGCCAAAAUUAUUUGAAGCUUUAUUCUGUUGUCAAUAUUUUCAUUUCUAAUAUUGUAGAUUAUUUGUAUAUGCCUGAAUUUUCGUCACAAUAUGUCUUUAAUUAAUAUUGACUUAAGAUUAUGUUUCAGUUCUUUCUUACAUACUUGGUAAAUUAUUCGUACUGACGUCCUUAUGUUGGGGACGCUGCAUUCAUGCCUACAGGUAUAUAUAAUCAGUUUGACGAGUCCUCAUAGAAGACAAAAUUGGUAUUCAGGGAAGGAUCGGUAAGACUCCACCUCAUUCGGAGUGCAAUCGAGUCUGUGAGUCAUCGUGUCAGAAUUUUGCUACAGACUUAUGGGUAGGCCGGAACCCUGUCCCAUUCGAUGUCAAACAAUCUUAGAGGCUUUCUAGACAUAGGUCCAUUUUGUACAGUAUGUGAGAGGCCUUGAUGGCCCAUAUGUAUUCAUAUUUUAUGAACGAUGGUUCAUUGAUAUAAUAUUUUCCUAC